CCUACGGGAGGCUGCAGUGGGGAAUAUUGGACAAUGGGGGCAACCCUGAUCCAGCCAUGCCGCGUGUGUGAAGAAGGCCCUCGGGUUGUAAAGCACUUUCAGUGAGGAAGAACGCCUGGUGGUUAAUACCCAUCAGGAAAGACAUCACUCACAGAAGAAGCACCGGCUAACUCCGUGCCAGCAGCCGCGGUAAUACGGAGGGUGCGAGCGUUAAUCGGAAUUACUGGGCGUAAAGCGCGCGUAGGUGGCUUGAUAAGCCGGUUGUGAAAGCCCCGGGCUCAACCUGGGAACGGCAUCCGGAACUGUCAAGCUAGGGUGCAGGAGAGGAAGGUAGAAUUCCCGGUGUAGCGGUGAAAUGCGUAGAGAUCGGGAGGAAUACCAGUGGCGAAGGCGGCCUUCUGGACUGACACUGACACUGAGGUGCGAAAGCGUGGGUAGCAAACAGGAUUAGAUACCCGAGUAGUC
RNAcentral lists this ribosomal RNA (465 nucleotides) under Vreelandella stevensii. Its description in RNAcentral is "partial 16S ribosomal RNA". It matches the Rfam family "Bacterial small subunit ribosomal RNA", at positions 338 to 795 of the family's 1533-position model. Lineage: Bacteria; Pseudomonadati; Pseudomonadota; Gammaproteobacteria; Oceanospirillales; Halomonadaceae. The record is from RNAcentral.